Molecule: ribosomal RNA, 492 nt
Filed under: uncultured bacterium
Lineage: Bacteria
Description: partial 16S ribosomal RNA
Rfam family: Bacterial small subunit ribosomal RNA
Source: RNAcentral
AGUGAACGCUGGCGGUAGGCCUAACACAUGCAAGUCGAACGGCAGCACAGUAAGAGCUUGCUCUUACGGGUGGCGAGUGGCGGACGGGUGAGGAAUACAUCGGAAUCUACUUUUUCGUGGGGGAUAACGUAGGGAAACUUACGCUAAUACAGCAUACGACCUACGGGUGAAAGCAGGGGAUCUUCGGACCUUGCGCGAUUGAAUGAGCCGAUGUCGGAUUAGCUAGUUGGCGGGGUAAAGGCCCACCAAGGCGACGAUCCGUAGCUGGUCUGCGAGGAUGAUCAGCCACACUGGAACUGAGACACGGUCCAGACUCCUACGGGAGGCAGCAGUGGGGAAUAUUGGACAAUGGGCGCAAGCCUGAUCCAGCCAUACCGCGUGGGUGAAGAAGGCCUUCGGGUUGUAAAGCCCUUUUGUUGGGAAAGAAAAGCAGCAGGUUAAUACCCCGCUGUUCUGACGGUACCCAAAGAAUAAGCACCGGCUAACUUCGUG